RNAcentral lists this ribosomal RNA (404 nucleotides) under Fusobacteriota bacterium. RNAcentral describes it as "Fusobacteria bacterium partial 16S ribosomal RNA". It matches the Rfam family "Bacterial small subunit ribosomal RNA", at positions 355 to 776 of the family's 1533-position model. Lineage: Bacteria; Fusobacteriati; Fusobacteriota. The record is from RNAcentral.
UGGGGAAUAUUGCACAAUGGGCGAAAGCCUGAUGCAGCGACGCCGCGUGAGUGAAGAAGUAUUUCGGUAUGAAAAGCUCUAUCAGCAGGGAAGAAAAUGACGGUACCUGACUAAGAAGCCCCGGCUAACUACGUGCCAGCAGCCGCGGUAAUACGUAGGGGGCAAGCGUUAUCCGGAUUUACUGGGUGUAAAGGGAGCGUAGACGGCGAAGCAAGUCUGAAGUGAAAACCCAGGGCUCAACCCUGGGACUGCUUUGGAAACUGUUUUGCUAGAGUGUCGGAGAGGUAAGUGGAAUUCCUAGUGUAGCGGUGAAAUGCGUAGAUAUUAGGAGGAACACCAGUGGCGAAGGCGGCUUACUGGACGAUAACUGACGUUGAGGCUCGAAAGCGUGGGGAGCAAACAGG